CGAUGUAGCUCAGUUGGUCAGAGCGUCCGCCUGAUACGCGGAAGGCCGUUGGUUCAAUUCCAACCGUCGCC
Molecule: transfer RNA, 71 nt
Filed under: pig gut metagenome
Rfam family: tRNA
About the family: Transfer RNA (tRNA) molecules are approximately 80 nucleotides in length. Their secondary structure includes four short double-helical elements and three loops (D, anti-codon, and T loops).
Source: RNAcentral